GAUGAACGCUGGCGGCGUGCCUAAUACAUGCAAGUCGAGCGAACAGACGAGGAGCUUGCUCCUCUGACGUUAGCGGCGGACGGGUGAGUAACACGUGGAUAACCUACCUAUAAGACUGGGAUAACUUCGGGAAACCGGAGCUAAUACCGGAUAAUAUAUUGAACCGCAUGGUUCAAUAGUGAAAGACGGUUUUGCUGUCACUUAUAGAUGGAUCCGCGCCGCAUUAGCUAGUUGGUAAGGUAACGGCUUACCAAGGCAACGAUGCGUAGCCGACCUGAGAGGGUGAUCGGCCACGCUGGAGCUGAGACACGGUCCAGACUCCAACGGGAGGCAGCAGUAGGGAAUCGGCCGCAAUGGGCGAAAGCCUGACGGAGCAACGCCGCGUGAGUGACGAAGGUCUUCGGAUCGUAAAACUCUGUUAUUAGGGAAGAACAAAUGUGUAAGUAACUAUGCACGUCUUGACGGUACCUAAUCAGAAAGCCCCGCCUAACUACGU
Molecule: ribosomal RNA, 496 nt
Filed under: uncultured bacterium
Lineage: Bacteria
Description: partial 16S ribosomal RNA
Rfam family: Bacterial small subunit ribosomal RNA
Source: RNAcentral